CGGCCCCCUUAUUUCGUUCAAAUUAAAAGUGACCUGCCUUUAAUUAUAAUACAUUAUUUUUAAAGUUUAAAACCUAUAUUUGUGUAAACAUCAAUAGAUUUUUCAACUUCCGUUGAUAUUAUUCAUGCUCUGUUGCUGUAAAGACCUCAAGAUUCGCGAAAAGGCCAGAAAAAUGGCAGUUUCUAAACCUUUUUCUGCAUUUUAAACUAUGAGCGUACCUACGACCCACGAUCAUAUUUAUACCAGACAUUCCUUGAACAUAAAUGUUGAUGCAGUUCAAAUAUUUU
RNAcentral lists this long non-coding RNA (287 nucleotides) under Mytilus galloprovincialis (Mediterranean mussel). The record is from RNAcentral. Lineage: Eukaryota; Metazoa; Mollusca; Bivalvia; Mytilida; Mytilidae.